Molecule: small RNA, 168 nt
Filed under: Rhodnius prolixus
Lineage: Eukaryota; Metazoa; Arthropoda; Insecta; Hemiptera; Reduviidae
Description: Glm Y RNA activator of glmS mRNA
Rfam family: Glm Y RNA activator of glmS mRNA
About the family: This family consists of a number of bacterial RNA genes of around 167 bases in length.
Source: Rfam by way of RNAcentral
CGUUGCUCAUUCACCUCGCUAUGAUUGCGCUGUUGAUGACGUCGCUUUGCGCUCAUAACACUCCGAAUGACGCCACAAGAAAGGGUGCCUAUCGUCCACUACACCGAUAACAGUCUGCUAUGCAGCUUUAUCAAACAUCGGGCGACACGUUGAGUGAGGCACCACCUA